UAGCAGAGAUAUGAGUAAAAAAUUAUACAAAGGAACUCGGCAAAUUUUAAACCUCGCCUGUUUAACAAAAACAUCACUAGAAGAAAUAACUUUUAGCAAUACCUGCCCAGUGCGAAAUAUUACUGUAAACGGCCGCCCUAGCGUGAGGGUGCUAAGGUAGCGAAAUUCCUUGCCUUUUGAUUGUAGGCCUGCAUGAAUGGUUUAACGAGGGUUUAACUGUCUCUAAAUUUUUAGUUGAAAUUGUAUUGAAGGUGAAGAUACCUUCAUUAAGAAGUUAGACAAAAAGACCCCGUGCAACUUUGAAAAUUGACUAUAUUCAGAAGUAAAAGAUUUUUAGGUGGGGCGCCUAGAAAGUAAGUCUAACCUUUCUGAAUAGUAAAUUCUCUCUGGAUUUGACCCGAUCAUAUUCGAUCAUAGGAGAAGUUACGCCGGGGAUAACAGGCUAAUCCUUUAGUAGAGCUCGUAUUGGCUAAAGGGAUUGGCACCUCGAUGUUGAAUCAGGGACGAUAGCUUCAAGGCGUAGAGGCUUUGAAAGUAGGUCUGUUCGACCUUUAAUACCCUACGUGAUUUGAGUUCAGACCGGCGUAAGCCAGGUUGGUUUCUAUCUGCUUUAAAUAAACUCAUCUUGGCAUGUACGAAAGGACCGCUGAGACUGGAAAUUGCUCCAGAAAAUAUUAGAAGAAAAGAUUUAAUGUGUUGGUAAAAUUCCAAAUAAGCCACAGUGGUCUAGAGAUUGCUAAUACUAACCAGCAGUUAAAAAACUUUUUAAAAGUGGAGUAUGGGAAUAUCAGAAACAUUGAAUUAAAACUUGUUUGACAAGAUGGUGGUAUUGAUUUUAAGCUUUUGGAAAAAGUACCUUUAGUAUAAUGGCCUUUUAAGAGAUUUUGCUUUAAAUUUGCACCUCCCGAAAUAAAAAGAUUUUUAAGAAAGCAAAAUAAGAGAUGUUCGAUGUAUGAAUUCUUGAAUAAACUUUGUUAAGGAUGUGAUAUGCAACUUCGAGUUUUAAGAUAGCUGGUUGUUCGAUAAAUGCUUUUAAGUGCAGCUUUAAAUUUUUGGUGCGGUGUGUGUUUAGGGUAGCCCCCACUGAACCAAUGUGUUAAGAGUGAAAAAUCUAGCUAAAGGUUGGGUUUAAAGUGCUUUCUGAAUUAUUUAAUUUUUAGAGAGAGAAAUUGGGUUUAUGCUGCCCAUUUUGUUACGAGUAUUUAACAACUUGUCUCUUUAAAGGUAAAAGAAUAACUUUUAAAAAAUGAGGUUAAAUAAAUCGUUCAUCUUUCAAGGAUAGUCUGUGAUUGAUUAUUAUGCUGGGAUUAGUAAUAAUGUGAAGUU
RNAcentral lists this ribosomal RNA (1326 nucleotides) under Magallana belcheri. RNAcentral's name for it is "Crassostrea belcheri large subunit ribosomal RNA". The stretch from base 1 to 633 matches the Rfam family "Bacterial large subunit ribosomal RNA", at positions 1678 to 2925 of the family's 2925-position model. Lineage: Eukaryota; Metazoa; Mollusca; Bivalvia; Ostreida; Ostreidae. The record is from RNAcentral.